Molecule: ribosomal RNA, 520 nt
Filed under: uncultured Entrophospora
Lineage: Eukaryota; Fungi; Glomeromycota; Glomeromycetes; Entrophosporales; Entrophosporaceae
Description: SSU rRNA
Rfam family: Eukaryotic small subunit ribosomal RNA
Source: RNAcentral
CGCAGCCGCGGUAAUUCCAGCUCCAAUAGCGUAUAUUAAAGUUGUUGCAGUUAAAAAGCUCGUAGUUGAAUUUCGGGAUUGACACAUCGGUCGUGCCUUAAGGGGUAUGAACUGGUGUAGUCAAUUUCUCACCUUCUGGAGAACCGCAAUGCCCUUAAUUGGGUGUCGCGGGGAACCAGGACCUUUACUUUGAAAAAAUUAGAGUGUUUAAAGCAGGCAUUUUGCUUGAAUACAUUAGCAUGGAAUAAUAAAAUAGGACGGCAUGAUUCUAUUUUGUUGGUUUCUAGGAUCACCGUAAUGAUUAAUAGGGAUAGUUGGGGGCAUUAGUAUUCAAUUGUCAGAGGUGAAAUUCUUGGAUUUAUUGAAGACUAACUACUGCGAAAGCAUUUGCCAAGGAUGUUUUCAUUAAUCAAGAACGAAAGUUAGGGGAUCGAAGACGAUCAGAUACCGUCGUAGUCUUAACCAUAAACUAUGCCGACUAGGAAUCAGACGAUGUUAAUUUUUUAAUGACUCGUUUGGU